This 131-nucleotide small RNA is filed under the name Klebsiella pneumoniae. Its description in RNAcentral is "partial RtT sRNA". It matches the Rfam family "RtT RNA", at positions 34 to 130 of the family's 130-position model. From Rfam's summary of the family: This family represents a bacterial cis-regulatory element known as RtT RNA. The exact function of RtT is unknown although it is thought that it may be involved in changing the cellular response in relation to amino acid starvation. Lineage: Bacteria; Pseudomonadati; Pseudomonadota; Gammaproteobacteria; Enterobacterales; Enterobacteriaceae. The record is from RNAcentral.
GUCGCAGGUUCGAAUCCUGCACGACCCACCAAUUUCAGCAUUUAACUCAGAUGCUGAACGUGAAGGAUAACGUUGCGUCAGUAACGGCCCGAAGGGCGAGGCAAAGCCGAGUCAUCCUGCACGACCUACCA